RNAcentral lists this ribosomal RNA (253 nucleotides) under uncultured bacterium. RNAcentral describes it as "partial 16S ribosomal RNA". It matches the Rfam family "Bacterial small subunit ribosomal RNA", at positions 524 to 776 of the family's 1533-position model. The record is from RNAcentral.
UACGAAGGGGGCUAGCGUUGUUCGGAAUUACUGGGCGUAAAGCGCACGUAGGCGGACAUUUAAGUCAGGGGUGAAAUCCCGGGGCUCAACCCCGGAACUGCCUUUGAUACUGGGUGUCUUGAGUCCGGAGGAGGUGAGUGGAAUUGCGAGUGUAGAGGUGAAAUUCGUAGAUAUUCGCAAGAACACCAGUGGCGAAGGCGGCUCACUGGCCCGAUACUGACGCUGAGGUGCGAAAGCGUGGGGAGCAAACAGG